UUUUUUUUUUUUUUAAUUUUAAAUACGCUGUUUGCUCUGAAUGUUUUCAAACUCUUUUAUAUGAAAUACCCAAGACAUUGUGCUAAGUGUCCUUCCUGUGCUGCACUAUGAAUGUGAAUUUUUGGUUUUAUAAAUAAAGUUUUUUAAACAGCCAAUGAUGACAGGAGGGAAGAGUGACUGGGGUUCUGAAGGUUGUUUUGUUGAGUGCUGGCUGACCUUUUCUACACAGAAACGUACUGCAGAAAGACAAGUCACUACAGUCAGCCUGUCGUUACUAUACAUUCAGACACUAGGAAAAGGAUUUUAACAUCUGAAAUCCAGUCCACUAUAUGUUGUGUGUGUGUGUGAGGCUAUAAUAUGGAGGAGAGCAACACACACACAGUCAUUUCAAACAUUUUCAUUAUUUUUCUCCACAUGUCAUAAACCAAAAAGCGUAAGAAAAGAGCAUGCUUGGGCAUGCAAUGAUGUCACAACAUGAUGUCACAACAUGAUGUCACAACAUGAUGUCACAACAUGAUGUCACCGGGUGCCGAGUAUAAAAAGGCGUAAACAGAUUUUUUUUUUUAAGCUCAUUCAUAAAACUCUGGAUCGACAUUUUGAAAAUCCACAAGAGUUUAUUUUUUUUAAAGCUAGCGUUUUUUAAAAUGUAUUUGACACCGAUGAUGGUCUCUGCCUCAGCGUCAGCCACCUGUAGCUGGAUGAAAACACCAGGAGAGCCGGAGAGAGAGAGAGAGACUCACAAACUGACUGACACCAGAUUGAGCAGGCUAAACAAACAUGCUGAAAAACAUGGGGCCCCCAGCAUGUCUGGAAGUGACACUGAAGGAGAACACAUUGGUAUUCCCAAAUAGCACCCUAUUCACUAUAUACCAUGCACCAUUCUGGACCAGGGCCCACCACCUGUUCUCCCAAAGCAGUGCACUAGCUACAUAGGGAAGGGGGCUCCAUUUGGGACUUUGGACUAGUCUGGAAGAGACCCAGUUCUCCCUGUGGACUGUUCUGGAAGAAGGCCGACAGGGAGAGAGACUAAACGGUGCAUGCCACUUCAGGCGGGGUCAACCGUUCACCAUUCUGAAGGUCACCCCCCCCCUCCCCCUCCCAGACUGCAUUUCCCACGAGGGGGGUUUCAUCAAGUGAAUCAUUACAUUAAUAAAAAAUAAAUAAAUACGAGGCACUCAGCAUUCUCUCUGUCUGGCAAAAUGCUCAAAAGUAACAAACAUUUGAAUAAUAAUGAUACAUACAUAUAUAUAUCUAUAUAUAUAUUUAGAAUCAGUGUUAUAAUGUAACAGUCUCAACACUGUACACAGGGGCCUGAAUUCUCCCACCUCCAUAGUCCUGUGUGUGUGUGUGUGUGUGUGUGUGUGUGUGUGUGUGUGUGUGUGUUGUGGACACUACGUGUGUUUUGUUGCGUAAGUGAUAGGGGUUGAGAUCAUUCAUGAAU
Oncorhynchus keta (chum salmon) is the source of this 1441-nucleotide long non-coding RNA. RefSeq lists it as uncharacterized. The record is from RefSeq and is a predicted model, not a curated record. The transcript has 2 exons. NCBI's taxonomy places the organism in Eukaryota, Metazoa, Chordata, Actinopteri, Salmoniformes, Salmonidae.